GAAAGGAAGGAAGGGAAAGAAAAAAAAAAGACAGCCAUCUUAUUAACAUUUAUUGCAGAUGGCAUUCAUUUGUCAAAUAUUUAUUAAAUGCCUACUAUAUGCCAGAUACUAUUUAGACACUAAAGAUAUAUAGUAAUGAACAAAAGAGACGUAGUUCCUGUCUUUACAGAGUUUUUAGACUGGUUGGGAACACAAGGUGAUACACAAGUCAUUAUAGGAACAAAUACAUAAUUGCAAAUGUAACAAGUGCUGUGAAGUAAAAGCACGCGGAGCGCAUACGCACGCGCCUGUGUGUGUGUGUGUGUGUGUGUGUGUGUGUGUAAUGGAAGGGGGCAGGGUGUGUUGUCUUGUAUGGAUCGAGAAUGGCUUCCUUAGGAAAUACACAGCUCAAGCUGAGGAAGGAGAGCAUGGACAGAAAUCCUGGAACUGGAAGAAGCAAAGUAUGUGUGAGCCAUUAAAAAAAGGUCCUUGUGGCUGGAUCCCAUUAGAACCACAAGAACGAGAGAACUUGGUGUGAAAUGAAGCUGGCUAAAGUGGUUUGGCCCUCAACUAUGCCAAACCUUGUAGGUGCGGGUAAAAAUUCUGGUCUUUAUCCUGUCUGCAAGGGCAGCAACCAAGGGAUUUUAGGAAAAUGCCAUGAGCAGCCUGGCUCUCCCUGGCUGUCUUUAGUGGAAUGUAUUUAGAAGGGCAAGAGUAGAUGAAGGAAGACAAAUUGGAAGUGUUUGCAAGAGAUGGCAGAUUAGAGUAGAGCAGAGAACAGGGAAGGAGAUAGAAAGAAGAGCGUGGAUUGGAAGACUUAAGAUGCAGAAAUAUUAAGGUAGAGAUAACAGUGGUGUUUCUUUGUGUAUGAAAAGAAGCUGGUGCUAUUUUAGCGUCUGACUUGCUACACUGCAUCAGAGGGAAUUACAGUAUCUCAUUUGUUCCAGAAAAGAGAAAGGUGAAAAUCAAUGCCUUUGGUUACAGAGUGUGAAGUCCUGACUCAGAGGAAAGGUCAUGAGAGGAGACAGUGGGAAGGCAGUUGGCCAUCUGCAAACCAAGGAGAGAAGACUUACCAGACACCAACCCUGCUGGCAUCUUGAUCUUGCACUUUAAGCCUUGAACUCCCAGAACCUUGUCGCCACAACCCCACUUGCUGACUAACCAGCCGGAGGUCAGUGCAGGCCUGCCAGAGGAAGGAGUGUUUGAGCCGACCGAGCCUUGCAGCCUGAGGAGGACGACCCCAGGAGAAGGCUGCAGUAGGGGCUGGAGCUAUUUUUCCUGGCAGCAAACCCACAGAGGCUCUGUGGAGUGCGAGAGGGAAGUUGGAAGGAAAUCAACUGUGGAAUAACUAUUCUCAGCUUCUGCCAGGACCCAAAAUGGAGGAAUGUCCUCUGGGUAGGGGCUGUGGGAGUCCACUCUCCUCUUCGGGGGCCUCCGGCUCCAGUCUCUCAUCCCCAGCAGCUCUCCGUGGCCUUCAAACAGAUGAUCUCCACAGUUAAGGUGUGGAUUUAUGCUGGCAAAUUCCAUACUAGUUAUCAUUUACCUUUUGGGGAAUUGAAAGAUCAGCUUUCCUACAAUAAUCAUCGUAAGACCAACUUAUCAAAGAGAUACCAAGACUUUCCUAGUGGAGUGCCAACAUGAAGAGAGGAAAGAGACUGAACCCUUAGGAGAAAAGUUCAAGAGGUUAAAGCUUUGGGGGGCAAGGACAGCUCAGCCUGAGAGCUUUGAGGACCGUGCCUUGAAGGAUAUGGUGUGUGUGUGUGUGUGUGUGUGUGUGUGUGUGUGUAUGUUGGGGAGUAUUCAGUCAACCAAAAGGAAUCCUAAAUAACUUUGCUUUUGCUGUGUGUGUGGAAUGGAACAGCCUUUUUUUCUGUCUUUCUUCUUUUUUAGAAAAAUAGAUUGUAAAGAUGGCAAAGAAAAUUACAAGCUUCCUGAGGAAGAAGGAUGGGAAAUUAGUGUCAAAAUGACUUUGUAAUUAUGUCUGUGUAUUUUAGAUAUUUUGGCUUAAAUAGAAGGUAGCAAAAAGAUAUAUAGUUUAUGUUAUGCGGUAGUUUUAGUUUUUUAUCAACACAAAUAUGUAUACUAUAUUACAGUAUUAUAAAAGGUGCGUUCAGAUAUUAUUAUUUAUUGGACUUAAGAAACAUGACAUAAAGGAAUAUCUUCAGAGAUGAUUAGGUGAGAUAUCUCAAUCAGUCGCUCUUUGCAGUUGCUCUCCUAGUGUGUGAUUACAUAGGCUAGGAAAAGAUAAUUUCCUGCAAAAUUCUCCUCAUCUAGGACUGUUCCUUACACUUCUCAUUUUGCAGACAUCUUAGAGGAAAACAUAGCGGAAAGAAAGGCCAUUGCUUACCGAGUGUAGGAGCACGCGCAGAGCUCUCUAGCCUACACGGUUUGUACGUUACACCCUC
Molecule: long non-coding RNA, 2384 nt
Organism: Ailuropoda melanoleuca (giant panda)
Lineage: Eukaryota; Metazoa; Chordata; Mammalia; Carnivora; Ursidae
Exons: 7
Source: RefSeq, a predicted model, not a curated record